CGCACGCUCGACGUUCGCACGUUCUUCGCGUACUCACGCUCUCCCGAUCUUUCAGUCUUUCAGCCGUUCGUUCCUCGGCGGGGCUACCCUUUCGACCGCGGUCGAACUCGGUCAGUACGUCCGCGGCAGUCGGUGUGCUUUGUUCGCGCGUGUUUGUUUCGACUGAAAUUGAUUUUUGGACGUAAUUCGAGGCAGAUAAUUACGGUGGAUAGUGUUACUGUGAAAACUAUGCCAAAUCGUGAGAAAACAAUGAUAUAUUUCGAAUUGAUGGUUAUUUGGGAUACUAUGUGAUAAUUGUGUUAAUUAAUAUAUCAUGGAGUUGCGAUUAGGUCAAGAUUGUCUACAUUCCAGAAUGCGACUCUGGUGGUAGUGACUGGCCGAUCUCUAUGUUCUAUUGGCUGGUUGAGGAGUGUGGCUAUGGCGUUGUGGAAGCGCGAGCCAAGGUCGGAUCGGGAACACGUGCGCGAAUUCUGCAAGUACGUAGGGACUGGAUAACCAGAUAACUGGAUUCGUUGACGUGGACUGCACAGAACGAGCGAAAAUCAUGAACGGACGAUGGAAGGCAUUGGAUCUGACAUAAAAUCAUUCAAGGUAUUAAUGUUUUGAUAUCUGCCUGUGGAGCAGGCGUAUAUUUAAUCUUGUGUCAAGCUUUUAUCGUAAGGUGAGCGUAUUUAACACUAGAAUGACGGAGGUUGGUGCCUGAUUGAGAGUCAAUUUAG
Molecule: long non-coding RNA, 719 nt
Organism: Ctenocephalides felis (cat flea)
Lineage: Eukaryota; Metazoa; Arthropoda; Insecta; Siphonaptera; Pulicidae
Exons: 3
Source: RefSeq, a predicted model, not a curated record